This is a long non-coding RNA of Oreochromis aureus, 989 nucleotides long. NCBI's taxonomy places the organism in Eukaryota, Metazoa, Chordata, Actinopteri, Cichliformes, Cichlidae. The record is from Ensembl.
CUUUCCAGAGAUGCGUUUCAGGUUUAGGUGAAAAGCUGCCGUUACACCUGAGCCUGACAGAGCUGCAGAGGUCUGACUGCACUGUGACCGAUUCACAGGACGAGAUGAUGGACAGCUUCAGCCCGGCUUCAGCCCGCUCCGGUCCUCGCUGCCAACAUAAACCUCAGCGCUUCAGACUGAGACCCAUGCAUCAGAGCACCCUCAGCCUGGGCGACACGCCGCCCUGCUACACCACCACCCACACCCAGAGUUAUUCCGGCAGGUCAGCCGAUGGACGUCCUCUCGUCUUCCGCCUCAGAGACCCCGGCUUCCCCUCGCAGCACUGGAGCCAGCUGGAUCUCCGUGACAACACCAUGCCGCCGCAAAGUGUGUUGCAGUCACACAGCAAAGAGGUGCACGUGCGCCAGCACGUGACUCGGAGAGUUGACCCAAAGUUGGAAAACUGGGCUCGGUAUAACAGCAGCAGAGCCAUCAGAGAGCUCAUCAACCAUCAUCAGCAUCAUCCAUCCGAGCGCCGGAGCACCUACAGGACGGAGCACACGAGCCCGGAGUUCAACGGCUCGUCACUGCAGGCCAGCGGCCGACAGACGCAGUGGCACCAACACGACAUCCUGACAGGUGAACCAAAGCAGGUGAUUGGGCCGGGGAAGUCCAGCAGACGGUCCAGAGAUCAGCAGCUGUGGGCGACCAGACGCUGGGAGACGGACUGUACUGCAUUCAGACUCUACUGACAGGAAGUAACGCCACAGGAAACCUCCAUUAAAUGUACAAACCCUGUCAGGACUCUUCUGUGGUCUGCCGAUGCUUCUCAGAGCAUUCCUAUAUGAUGCAGGAACGAUGUUUCUCCUCCAGGACUCAGUGAAUAUAAACAAGUAAACUUUAACUGAAGGGGCUCAGAUGGGCAGGAAAACACAGAAAUACUAAAAUCCAAAGUCCACGGGAGGCUCCAGCAGGGAGUCGGCCACCAACUUUACAGCAUAAAUAAACAC